GUGCAGCAGGCGAGAAUAGUCUACAAUGGACGAGAGUCUGAUAGUGCGACGCCGUGUGUGCGAUUAAUUCCUUCGGGGUGUAAAGCACUUUUCUAUGAGAUAAAAGCUCUUUAGGUUAAUAGCUUAUUGAGACGGAUAUUAUUAUAGGAAUAAGCUCCGGCUAACUCCGUGCCAGCAGCCGCGGUAAUACGGAAGGAGCGAGCGUUGUCCGGAUUUACUAGGCGUAAAGGGCUAGUAGGCGACUAAUUAAGUUAUAUGUUAAAUCCCACGGCUCAACUGUGGUCCUGCAUGUAAUACUGGUUAGAUAGAGUACUGUAGAGGAAGGCAGAAUUCCUGGAGUAGCGGUGGAAUGCGCAGAUAUCAGGAAGAAUACCAAAAGACGAAGGCAGCCUUCUGGGCAGUUACUGACGCUGAAUAGCGAAGGUGUGGGUAGCGAACAGGAUUAGAUA
This 449-nucleotide ribosomal RNA is filed under the name uncultured microorganism. Its description in RNAcentral is "bacterial SSU rRNA". It matches the Rfam family "Bacterial small subunit ribosomal RNA", at positions 346 to 784 of the family's 1533-position model. The record is from RNAcentral.